CCUACGGGCGGCAGCAGUGAGGAAUAUUGGUCAGUGGACGAGAGUCUGAACCAGCCAAGUAGCGUGAAGGAUGACUGCCCUAUGGGUUGUAAACUUCUUUUAUAUGGGAAUAAAACGUUCCACGUGUGGGAUUUUGUAUGUACCAUAUGAAUAAGGAUCGGCUAACUCCGUGCCAGCAGCCGCGGUAAUACGGAGGAUCCGAGCGUUAUCCGGCUUUAUUGGGUUUAAAGGGAGCGUAGGUGGAUUGUUAAGUCAGUUGUGAAAGUUUGCGGCUCAACCGUAAAAUUGCAGUUGAAACUGGCAGUCUUGAGUACAGUAGAGGUGGGCGGAAUUCGUGGUGUAGCGGUGAAAUGCUUAGAUAUCACGAAGAACUCCGAUUGCGAAGGCAGUUCACUGGACUGCAACUGACACUGAGGCUCGAAAGUGUGGGUAUCAAACAGGAUUAGAUACCCUAGUAGUC
Molecule: ribosomal RNA, 460 nt
Filed under: uncultured bacterium
Lineage: Bacteria
Description: partial 16S ribosomal RNA
Rfam family: Bacterial small subunit ribosomal RNA
Source: RNAcentral